AUCAUGUUCCCGUGUGUUUUGUGAGUAUUCAGUCAAAGAAGUUAGGUUGUUCUCCAGAAUUGGCUCUCUCCUAAAGGUCAAAAC
Non-coding RNA from Oryctolagus cuniculus (rabbit), 84 nucleotides. The record is from Rfam. Lineage: Eukaryota; Metazoa; Chordata; Mammalia; Lagomorpha; Leporidae.